UCUUGUGAACCGUCAAUACAACAUACUGUUACAAUAUUGAAAACAAAUAAUUUUUCAAAUCAACUUUCAGCCAAAUUGAUCUACACGAUUUCGUGAUCAAUUAUCGCGAACUGAUUUUGAUUUCAGCGUCCAGUGCCCAAUUCCUUCGGCCAACUAUUGUUUAAUAGCAACGUGGUUUUGAACGAACUUUGGUUGUCUGUUAUACUGGAGAUUUGCAUCUUGCCAUGAAUGCUACAAUAUGCAAAGUGAGCUAAAAAGUUGUUGGCUGUUUCGCCUCACCAAUCAUCCUCACAACCGGCGGCGUUCAGAGAUACUUGUGACCGUAUAAAUUUUCAUAGAAAUUACUAUACGCGAUUGAAUCGUAAUUACACUUUUUGUUUUCAUUCCAUCGUCUACCUGUUACAAAACUGUGAUUGGAAACCUCGACGGUCAUACAGUCGCAAUUUAAAAAAAUAAUUGUUUGGUGUGGUGGAAUCUUUUAAACUUACAAAACCCGUUUUCGUUUCUAUUGUCGAAAAACUUGUGAGAAAUAAAAAAAUUUAUUAUAAAAUGUUUUAGUAUAUAGACGCCUGUUUAAAACAGACGUCAACAAGAAUUUUAUUUACGGACGGUCUCAUCUUUCGGCGGUUUUUCAAGGGGACACCUCCCACUCAACCAUCCACAUGAUUCGGAGUCGGGAAUUCGUUUCCGUUGUCCUGAAUUUGAUUCGACCCAAGUCGUGCUAGCCAGAUAAUGAAAUCAUUUUCGACUGGUUAAUUUUUGAAUCCCACGGAUAUUUAAGAAAAAAGAUUUUCGCACCUUAAGUAGGCUACGUAUAUAAAAAUCGUGUUAUCUUUGUACAGUUGAUUGUUGAUAUCGUUAAAUGUUGUUGUAUAUACCGUGCCUUUUCUACUAGAA
Long non-coding RNA from Daphnia magna, 897 nucleotides. RefSeq lists it as uncharacterized. The transcript has 2 exons. NCBI's taxonomy places the organism in Eukaryota, Metazoa, Arthropoda, Branchiopoda, Diplostraca, Daphniidae. The record is from RefSeq and is a predicted model, not a curated record.